CGUUCCCGGGCCUUGUACACACCGCCCGUCACACCACGAAAGUCGGCAACGCCCGAAGCCAGUGGCCUAACCCUUUUGGGAAGGAGCUGUCGAAGGUGGGGUCGGCGAUUGGGGUG
Molecule: ribosomal RNA, 116 nt
Filed under: uncultured bacterium
Lineage: Bacteria
Description: partial 16S ribosomal RNA
Rfam family: Bacterial small subunit ribosomal RNA
Source: RNAcentral